RNAcentral lists this transfer RNA (64 nucleotides) under Ichthyoxenos japonensis. RNAcentral's name for it is "tRNA-Lys". The record is from RNAcentral. Lineage: Eukaryota; Metazoa; Arthropoda; Malacostraca; Isopoda; Cymothoidae.
ACUAAAAUGGCUGAACUAAUAAGCAUAGGUCUUUUAAACCUUAAAUGGUAUAAACCUUUUACAA